RNAcentral lists this ribosomal RNA (433 nucleotides) under uncultured bacterium. Its description in RNAcentral is "partial 16S ribosomal RNA". It matches the Rfam family "Bacterial small subunit ribosomal RNA", at positions 29 to 507 of the family's 1533-position model. The record is from RNAcentral.
AGCGAACGCUGGCGGCAGGCCUAACACAUGCAAGUCGAACGAACUCUUCGGAGUUAGUGGCGGACGGGUGAGUAACACGUGGGAACGUGCCUUUUGGUUCGGAAUAACUCAGGGAAACUUGUGCUAAUACCGACUGUGCCCUUCGGGGGAAAGAUUUAUCGCCAUUAGAGCGGCCCGCGUCUGAUUAGCUAGUUGGUGAGGUAACGGCUCACCAAGGCGACGAUCAGUAGCUGGUCUGAGAGGAUGACCAGCCACACUGGUACUGAGACACGGCCCAGACUCCUACGGGAGGCAGCAGUGGGGAAUCUUGCGAAAUGGGCGAAAGCCUGACGCAGCCAUGCCGCGUGAAUGAUGAAGGUCUUAGGAUUGUAAAAUUCUUUCACCGGUGACGAUAAUGACGGUACCCGGAGAAGAAGCCCCGGCUAACUUCGUG